CGCUGCAGCCCAGGCUGAGAGAUCCAGAGGGCCAAAGCGAGGCCGCGGCCACCCGUGCCCACAGCGGUGCCGGGCACACAGCCGCGCACCGCGAGGAUGUCCCAAGCGUCCCCCGCUGCAGUUCCCGCGCUCGGCCCACAGGUGGCAGACGUCCACCUUGCGGGACGCUCCCUGCAGAACUUUGCGAAGCCACCUAGGCGUGUGUGAGAAGCAAGACCCAAGGAGAAUUCCUUUCCACACAGAUAUCUUGGGGGAGGAAAGCCUUGACUGAAUUCAGGGAGGCAGUAUCGCUGGCAGCGAACAAGUUAGGUUCUAUUUGCAAAUAGCUUUCAAAUCACGCCGGGAAUUCUCCGAAGUGGCCACGCUGGUUGCCGCAGGAGUUCCAGUUCCAGGUAUCUGCCAUGCGCACUCCCUGGAGACCGUCGCCAACCUGAGGCAGGCACCCACACUUCACGGACCCGCAAACUCAUCCACAGGAGCGGCGCUGGGACCCUGCCCCGGGAGAAUCUUCGCAGCUGCUUGUCCUUUGCCUGCAGGGUCGGCCUGUCCCCACGGUGGGACAGAGGCCGUUCCCAGCCCCAGGCUGGCCCGCAGGGUCAGCGCGCCGUGCUAAAUGGCCACGUGGAGAAGGGGACAUCUCCUCGCAGCCCGGCACAACCCGAGGGAGAUGCACCUAUUGAGUGCACCCUAUUGAGAUGCACCGGCCGAGGACCCGAGGAGGAGGAAGCGGACUUAGGAAUUCUUAGCGAGAAGGGCCAGCAGCAUCCCUGUGGGUUUCCUCCUCACUGCCCCUCCCCUGCUCACCCGUGCUCGGCACCCAGGCGGGUCAGCUGUCUCUUAUCUGAGCAUCAAGCCCUCGGGGCUCUGCUAACAAAAAAACUUCCCGCCUGGAGCUCUUGCGGUGUGCAGGGCGCAGCGCCCGCCCACCGUUGGGCUGACGAUUGCCUACCGCAUCGGGCACCCAGGAACUGCGAAGAUGCGGCCGCAGGGACCCUCAAGAUCACCACUUGCCAAGUGCGAGAUGCAAGGCUUGCACUGUUAUCCACCUAA
Long non-coding RNA from Cervus elaphus (red deer), 1050 nucleotides. RefSeq lists it as uncharacterized. The transcript is spliced from 3 exons. Lineage: Eukaryota; Metazoa; Chordata; Mammalia; Artiodactyla; Cervidae. The record is from RefSeq and is a predicted model, not a curated record.